GGGACACGUGGUAUCCUGUCUGAAUAUGGGGGGACCAUCCUCCAAGGCUAAAUACUCCUGACUGACCGAUAGUGAACCAGUACCGUGAGGGAAAGGCGAAAAGAACCCCGGCGAGGGGAGUGAAAAAGAACCUGAAACCGUGUACGUACAAGCAGUGGGAGCACGCUUAGGCGUGUGACUGCGUACCUUUUGUAUAAUGGGUCAGCGACUUAUAUUCUGUAGCAAGGUUAACCGAAUAGGGGAGCCGAAGGGAAACCGAGUCUUAACUGGGCGUUAAGUUGCAGGGUAUAGACCCGAAACCCGGUGAUCUAGCCAUGGGCAGGUUGAAGGUUGGGUAACACUAACUGGAGGACCGAACCGACUAAUGUUGAAAAAUUAGCGGAUGACUUGUGGCUGGGGGUGAAAGGCCAAUCAAACCGGGAGAUAGCUGGUUCUCCCCGAAAGCUAUUUAGGUAGCGCCUCGUGAAUUCAUCUCCGGGGGUAGAGCACUGUUUCGGCAAGGGGGUCAUCCCGACUUACCAACCCGAUGCAAACUGCGAAUACCGGAGAAUGUUAUCACGGGAGACACACGGCGGGUGCUAACGUCCGUCGUGAAGAGGGAAACAACCCAGACCGCCAGCUAAGGUCCCAAAGUCAUGGUUAAGUGGGAAACGAUGUGGGAAGGCCCAGACAGCCAGGAUGUUGGCUUAGAAGCAGCCAUCAUUUAAAGAAAGCGUAAUAGCUCACUGGUCGAGUCGGCCUGCGCGGAAGAUGUAACGGGGCUAAACCAUGCACCGAAGCUGCGGCAGCGACACUAUGUGUUGUUGGGUAGGGGAGCGUUCUGUAAGCCUGUGAAGGUGUGCUGUGAGGCAUGCUGGAGGUAUCAGAAGUGCGAAUGCUGACAUAAGUAACGAUAAAGCGGGUGAAAAGCCCGCUCGCCGGAAGACCAAGGGUUCCUGUCCAACGUUAAUCGGGGCAGGG
This 960-nucleotide ribosomal RNA is filed under the name Escherichia coli. RNAcentral's name for it is "partial 23S ribosomal RNA". It matches the Rfam family "Bacterial large subunit ribosomal RNA", at positions 419 to 1379 of the family's 2925-position model. Lineage: Bacteria; Pseudomonadati; Pseudomonadota; Gammaproteobacteria; Enterobacterales; Enterobacteriaceae. The record is from RNAcentral.